Long non-coding RNA from Myzus persicae (green peach aphid), 1105 nucleotides. RefSeq lists it as uncharacterized. The transcript has 4 exons. Lineage: Eukaryota; Metazoa; Arthropoda; Insecta; Hemiptera; Aphididae. The record is from RefSeq and is a predicted model, not a curated record.
UCAGGCGGUGCAGGCGGGCAAUGUGUUGUAUGUUUCUGGUUCUUUAGGCCUAGAUGAGAAGACGUUGAAACCGGUUGAGGGUGGAGCAGCGGCUGAGGCUAGGCAGUCACUAAAAAAUAUCCAUUCGAUACUUAAACAUGCUGGCACUUCAUUCGAUAAAAUUGCUAAGACCACAAUACUGCUGAGUGACAUUAACAAUGCCAAGUUUGUCAACGAAGUCUAUCAAGAAUUUGUAAAAGAACCGUAUCCGGCCAGAUCUACAUAUCAAGUGGCUAAAUUACCAUUGAAUGCGCUUGUGGAAAUCGAAGUCAUUGCUAUUGUGGAAGAAUGAUUCAUUACCAUAAGUUCAAAAACUAUGAUUGCUAUCCUAAUAGGCGGUUAUAAGAUAAUAAAUAUCUACUUAUUCUAUGUGUAAUAUUUCAUCUAGACUUUAGAAGCGUUAUAUAUUAAACAUUUCGACUGUAGGUCUAAAAGUAAUAUUGUAGUAACAUGUAAUUUGUAUAGACGUAUAGUGGAUAGGUACCUACCAUUACCAAUAAUUGUAUGCAAACAUUAAUAUAAUACAUACUAUGCAAUAUCUUAAUUUAUUUUUUAUUAGGUAAUCCCAAAGACAUACUAGACAAAAAAAAGGAGUGUAUAUUAUUAAUGAAUAAUAUAUUUAUUUUUAAUAAUAAGCUAAUAUGAUAUUGCGAUCUAUAAACUGAAAAGUCCAGGUGGAAAUAAAGAGUAUGACGACCAAUUUUUAAAAGAUUUUUGAUCAUGUUUACAUCAAACUUUACAGGUCUAAAGUAAGUUUCUAUAAGUACUUCAAUUAUUUAUUAACAGUUGACUUUUGGUAUUUUGAUGUCUAAGUGAAAAGAAAAAUGUUGAGAUAUUAAAAACCAAUGAAGUAUUAUUGUGGUUGAAAGAAUUUUUUAUAUUUGAUAAUGCUUUUUUUUAGAACACUAAAUUCCAGACAAAAAUGCAUAUAAAACAAUUGGUACAAGGGUACAUGUAUAGUUAAAGUUAAAACUUCAUUAUAAAAUCAAUGUAUUCUUAGUGUUAUUUUAUUAUAAUUAAAAUAUAGAUAAUAUAAUGUACAAAAUAGAAGAAACUUAUUUAUUUU